UGGGGAAUAUUGGACAAUGGGCGAAAGCCUGAUCCAGCCAUGCCGCGUGUGUGAAGAAGGUCUUCGGAUUGUAAAGCACUUUCAGUUGGGAGGAAGGGCAGUAAGCGAAUACCUUGCUGUUUUGACGUUACCGACAGAAUAAGCACCGGCUAACUCUGUGCCAGCAGCCGCGGUAAUACAGAGGGUGCGAGCGUUAAUCGGAUUUACUGGGCGUAAAGCGUGCGUAGGCGGCUAAUUGAGUCGGAUGUGAAAUCCCCGAGCUUAACUUGGGAAUUGCAUUCGAUACUGGUUAGCUAGAGUGUGGGAGAGGAUGGUAGAAUUCCAGGUGUAGCGGUGAAAUGCGUAGAUAUAGGAAGGAACACCAGUGGCGAAGGCGACCACCUGGGCUCAUACUGACACUGAGGUGCGAAAGCGUGGGGAGCAAACAGG
This 429-nucleotide ribosomal RNA is filed under the name Pseudomonadota bacterium. Its description in RNAcentral is "Proteobacteria bacterium partial 16S ribosomal RNA". It matches the Rfam family "Bacterial small subunit ribosomal RNA", at positions 355 to 776 of the family's 1533-position model. Lineage: Bacteria; Pseudomonadati; Pseudomonadota. The record is from RNAcentral.